UACAUACAGCUUUUUAGUAUACAGAACCUCAGAGGGUAUUAACCCGCCGGAGUUCUCUUCAGGUAUAAGUUCCCAGGUGUGCACUAAAAAAUCGUAACAAGGUCUCCGUUGGUGGACCAGCGGCAGGAUCAUUACCGAGUUAUUCUACUCCCAAACCCCUGUGAACUUAUACCUUUACUGUUGCUUCGGCGGGUUAACGCCCCGGAAGGCCCGCGAGGGCCGCCGGAACCAGGCGCCCGCCGGGGGACCCAAAGUCUUGUAUCUUUUUUAUAGCAUGUAUGAGUGGAAUCAUAAACAAAUGAAUCAAAACUUUCAACAACGGAUCUCUUGGUUCUGGCAUCGAUGAAGAACGCAGCGAAAUGCGAUAAGUAAUGUGAAUUGCAGAAUUCAGUGAAUCAUUGAAUGUUUGAACGCACAUGGCGCCCGCCAGUAUUAUGGCGGGCAUGCCUGUUCGAGCGUCAUUUCAACCCUCAAGCCCCAGUGGCCUGGUGUUGGGGACCGGCGACCUCGCCCGGGGGAACACCCCCGGCGCGUCCGCCGCCCCCGAAAUGAAUUGGCGGCCCCGUCGCGGCCUCCUCUGCGUAGUAGCACAACCUCGCAGCGGGAGCGCGACGCGGCCACUGCCGUAAAACGCCCAA
Molecule: ribosomal RNA, 638 nt
Filed under: Metapochonia bulbillosa
Lineage: Eukaryota; Fungi; Ascomycota; Sordariomycetes; Hypocreales; Clavicipitaceae
Description: eukaryotic LSU rRNA
Rfam family: 5.8S ribosomal RNA (bases 308-461)
Source: RNAcentral